Molecule: long non-coding RNA, 372 nt
Filed under: Coffea arabica (coffee)
Lineage: Eukaryota; Viridiplantae; Streptophyta; Magnoliopsida; Gentianales; Rubiaceae
Description: long non-coding RNA (CARA_LNC003728)
Source: RNAcentral
GUUUUUCUUUUUUUUUUUUUUUGGGUGGGGGUACAAGAACCAUUACAAAGAUUCGGAAAUUUAUUUACAUAGGUAACAUCUGGCACGCACUUAACAACCCCAAUCGUCCAGAAGAACUCAUCAUUCAACAACCUCAGUUAUCACGGAGAGACUUGCCUCCACUCACAUGUAUGUAGUAUUAAGCCUGCACAGAUUAAUUGUAUUCUGCUCUAACUACCAUCUAGAGAUUAGUAGUGCUGCUAUUAUGUAUUAAACAAGGCUCUUCGCAAGCAUAUCACUCUGAAGUCACUGCUUGAUUGUGAGCUCAGCCCUAAGGUGAAGAAUUCCAUUAUGAAAUAUGGACUAUCAUCGGCCACAAAUGCCGUCCAAGGA